RNAcentral lists this long non-coding RNA (1004 nucleotides) under Calidris pygmaea (Spoon-billed sandpiper). Its description in RNAcentral is "lncRNA (ENSCPGG00000018005.1)". The record is from RNAcentral. Lineage: Eukaryota; Metazoa; Chordata; Aves; Charadriiformes; Scolopacidae.
GCGGGGCAGACGCUGGUGUGAGGUCGCUCCUCACCUCUCAGGCGCAGCGAUGCAAACGGAAGCUGCGGCCACGUCACUUGCUGGAAUCCUCUCUAAGAGAGGGAUAGAAGCACCAGCAAAACAAUUAAGUAAAUUAACGGCUGGGAGGAGUGCUGCUUGGGCGCAUAUGCGAACGGUUCGAGGUGGCCUCUCGUUCGAGGUGGCCUCUCGCCUCCCAGGGAAUUACGGCGCAGCAAUGGAAAUAGAAGCUGCAGCAACGCUACUCGCUGGAAUCCUCUCUAAGAGAGGGAUUGAAGUGCCAGCGAAACUGCUGAUAAAGUUAAUUAAAUUAGGACAGCGAUGGAGUCAUUUUUCUGACACACAUAUGCUGUUUUCUGUCUCGGAAUGGCGAGACUUUGGAGGGACGAUGUGGCAUAAAUUAAUCGAGGGGGAUGAAAAAGAGGAGAAGGAGAUAAAAGCCGUCCGCGAGCUGUGGAAUGCUGUGCUAGAGACUUUAAAAGCAAUGAAAGCGGAGCGGGAAGUAGCCUGUGCAGCUGCUCAAAUGUCAGGUCCGGGAGCAGCCGUCUUAAAACCUCAAGGCAAGCCUGGACCUAUUGCGCGGUUCUUCGGACUGCCCGCGGUAAAGGGAAUGACCGGGUCCACAUGUAAAACUGUUGCUGAAAUUCGAGCUAAUGAGACACCUGACUCUCCUGAGGAGGGAAAAGACUUACCGCUGAACCCCUUACAAAACUCGGAAAAAGCGGAAGUAACUGGUGCUAAGCCAAAACAGAAAAGUAAUGCACAUGCGGAAGUGCCUGCUCAGGAAACUCCAGCAGAGGAGGGGCCUGAAACACCUCCUCCCGCAACCUCCGCCUGCCGUGUACCCACCGCUGCCCCCCUCCAGACUCGUCUGGUCCGUCAACUCCGCCUCCCGACAAGAGUCGUAAACUGUCCUCAGACACCACAGAAAAAAUGUUACAGACAGUUUUAAGGCGGCUCGAGGAGUUAAACUUACGUGUGGGGAG